GUUGCCUGGUGACGGCGGCGGGGCCGAGGCGGCCGCAGAGGGUGAGCGGGGCCUGACCGAGCCCCUCCGUCAGCGGCUGACCCGGGGCUGGGUCUCCUCGGCCUGGCUGGACGCUUUUCCCAGAGCACAACCCCUCCUGAUGGCCGGCGCCGCAGGGGCAGCCGUGCGGAGGUGCGAGCGUGGCACCAGGAUGGGAGCAGGCGUGGCAGGUCCUUGUCAUAGCGAGGGCUGCAUCACCUAGCCGGCAUCCCAGAGGAGAAGCAGAUGGCAUGCUUUCUUUGGGUAGAUGGAAACACACAUGAGCAAAUGCUACAUGUCAGUGUAAUGAGGCUAUUUGAAAAGAAGUUACCACCUUUGCAAGCCUGGAAGAUGGUUUGAAUUGAGAGGAUGGACUGAGAUGCAUAUGAGCUGCAUAUUUUAAAACACAGGGAAGUAUGUGCAAGGUCUUAGGAGCAAAGAGCCUGGAAGGCACAGAACAAAGCAUCUGCUACAAGAGAAACAUUGAGAAAGAGCAGCCUUUUGAAACUCUAUGCUGUUAAAAACUGUUCAGCUGCUGUCUAGAAAGAUGCAAAGGGUCCCUGCUCUCAAAAGCGCUCACAAGGGCAGCCUGGAGAGAAGAAAUAUUGUCUUUCAUUGAUGGUCCUGGGUGAGUCAUUCACCCUCUGUCUGACUCAGCACUGAGCACUCUUGCACUCCCCAGAACAUCUCCCAGCUCACACCAGUCAUUGUCCAAGACAGUAUACUCAGUCUUAGGAGCAUCUUGGUAGCUCAGCGCAGAGCCUUUAGCCAAGCUGCUGUGCUAAGGAGCGUAGGGACUGUGAGCCUGACCCUGACAUUGUUCUGCAUCCCAGCACCUGGAAGUCUUGCUGACAUCUGUUUGAAGCAAGUGUGUAAGUACCCUGGUGUCUCAUGGCCUGCUUUCCGAAGAAACCUUCUAGUACAGUAUCAAAGUCUAAAUCAAACCAAUGCCUGCGUUUUCUAGAAUUUGCUUGGAAAUCUUAACAGCAAAAUUCCUAAAUGAGACAAGAAGAUCUCUCAGUGAUGCAUAAAUACAUUGCUGCUAGACUCAAGUAGUAAUCUAGAUCAUUUUCAUUUGCUGAGAAAGUUUAUUUGCAUGGAACUGCAAACCAUCGUCUAGGGAGGCUGCACUGGCUGCUCAGCUUCUACACAGCAGGAUCUGCUCUUGUGCUUCAGCAGUGCUGUUGCUAUGGCUUUGCCCCAGCAUAUAUGAGAUCAGAAAGUGGCUCACUGCCAUGUAUAUGGGUUUUGCGAGAACUGAAUUGAAUUAUGCUUGUCAUUGUUUGCUUGGGGUGUUUUUCCCUAGCAAGAUUAACAAUAGCACUGCUCACAAAAUCCUCACCUUAAGAAAGAAAUUAUGUUGAUCAUUCCUUUAAAAGGGAAAACUAAAGAA
Long non-coding RNA from Pezoporus flaviventris, 1411 nucleotides. RefSeq lists it as uncharacterized. The transcript has 3 exons. NCBI's taxonomy places the organism in Eukaryota, Metazoa, Chordata, Aves, Psittaciformes, Psittacidae. The record is from RefSeq and is a predicted model, not a curated record.